RNAcentral lists this long non-coding RNA (329 nucleotides) under Eutrema salsugineum. RNAcentral describes it as "long non-coding RNA (ESAL_LNC002060)". The record is from RNAcentral. Lineage: Eukaryota; Viridiplantae; Streptophyta; Magnoliopsida; Brassicales; Brassicaceae.
CAGAACUUCUCAAUUAUGACAUAACUCGUGUAUCAUCUUCAGAACUGAUCAUCUCUGUUCGAUGGAUGAGAGACAGUUCUGCUCUUGACAUUUCAGUCACCAACUUAGGAUUGAACGACUUGGUAUCCAAACUCGAGAGAAGCUUUUCUACAAAUAUGUUCUCAAUUUCAAAUAAAAAUGAGAAAUCGGAAAAUUAACAUUUCAGAAAAAGAUAAAUAUAAAAAAUUCAUCUACUUACUUCAUUUUCUUUGAGGAAGUUUUUUUUUUUUUUUCGGACUUUGAGGAAGUUAUACACUUAUGAUUUGAGUCGGAAGGACUUUCGAAAAGCA